RNAcentral lists this ribosomal RNA (255 nucleotides) under uncultured bacterium. Its description in RNAcentral is "partial 16S ribosomal RNA". It matches the Rfam family "Bacterial small subunit ribosomal RNA", at positions 524 to 776 of the family's 1533-position model. The record is from RNAcentral.
UACGAAGGGGGCUAGCGUUGUUCGGAAUUACUGGGCGUAAAGCGCGCGCAGGCGGUUUCUUAAGUCUGAUGUGAAAGCCCACGGCUUAACCGUGGAAGGUCAUUGGAAACUGGGAGACUUGAGUGCAGAAGAGAAGAGCGGAAUUCCACGUGUAGCGGUGAAAUGCGUAGAGAUGUGGAGGAACACCAGUGGCGAAGGCGGCUCUUUGGUCUGUAACUGACGCUGAGGCGCGAAAAGCGUGGGGGAUCAAACAGG